This is a long non-coding RNA of Cephus cinctus (wheat stem sawfly), 1108 nucleotides long. RefSeq lists it as uncharacterized. The record is from RefSeq and is a predicted model, not a curated record. NCBI's taxonomy places the organism in Eukaryota, Metazoa, Arthropoda, Insecta, Hymenoptera, Cephidae. The transcript is spliced from 6 exons.
AUGAAAAAAAAAAAAAAAAAGGAAAGAAAACGGAAAUAGAAACUAAAAGAAAAGAGCCGAUUGGACUUGUAAAACUGUUUUCCAAGGGUAAUAUUUCAACGGUAAAAAGUUCGGAAUUCUUCAUCGUCAAAAGAUUGCCUCAUUAAGGAUGCAUUAUGCACCCCCUCGUAAAUCCUCCAUGAUACAACCAAGGUGUCUGAUUAAAGUACAACAGGAGGAAAGGACGCCUUUGCGGAAUAUCCAUCUGCGAGGAUCUACGUUUAAUUUAACAGAACCGAGCCAGAUCACUUCAAAGUCCUUGGGAUGACAGGAAGGAGACUCUUUAUUCGUAGAUGAAUCCUAAAGAGGAUCUUGAUCCUGGAAGCUGGAAAAAAACAUCCUCCGCGAUAGCUAUACGAAGAGGAAUUGUUCGUAACAGGCAUGCAGCUUUUUUUCAAAACGAUUUUUACUAGGCAGUAUUUUUCAUAGCAGCGAAACGGACUGCUGUUACGAAAUGUCCAAGCUGCAUGGCGUCCCAAUAAAAAAGAGUCAUGGGAAGAUCGUAUCAAGACAGUCGCCGCAGUUGGUCACUACGAAAUACCACGGAAUUGGAACUGUCUGUUUUAUAGAGCGGAAUCCAUGUUUACCGGAUAUCGUCGGCAACGGUCGUCCUAUUACAGCGACUACUGCCGCAGCAAUUCCACCGGAAGUCUGUGCCUGGGCCAAUGCUCCACCAACGGCAUGACUGCUUCCUAUUGGUCUCGGUGGUGCACCUCCCAUAGUCUUCAUAGUUCCUACAAAUUAUAUCGACCUUGCGGUGCAUUCGCAGGCUGUCCCACUCGUCUCCUGAUGCGUUUUCUCGCGGUUUGAUAUAUCCUCCAGUAAAGGAUCAAGAUGACGAAGAGAGGCAGGUAGAAGGAUGAUAUCGUGGCGAAUAUCUGCGUGAAGAAAUAAUUAAGCUUUAUCGAGUAUAACUGUUAUUAUUAUUAUUUUUCUUAAUUAUUCUUAUUACGCAAUUACAAAGAAAGGUAUACCUAUAUCAGACUCGGGCAUUAAUUUAUAUUAAUAACUGCUAACCAAGAUGGGCAUUAUUGUUAUAAGGUAACAAUGGCGGACGUCUAAUUGUUCG